This 431-nucleotide ribosomal RNA is filed under the name uncultured bacterium. Its description in RNAcentral is "partial 16S ribosomal RNA". It matches the Rfam family "Bacterial small subunit ribosomal RNA", at positions 28 to 506 of the family's 1533-position model. The record is from RNAcentral.
AGCGAACGCUGGCGGCAGGCCUAACACAUGCAAGUCGAACGAACUCUUCGGAGUUAGUGGCGGACGGGUGAGUAACACGUGGGAACGUGCCUUUUGGUUCGGAAUAACUCAGGGAAACUUGUGCUAAUACCGAAUGUGCCCUUCGGGGAAAGAUUUAUCGCCAUUAGGGCGGCCCGCGUCUGGUUAGUUAGUUGGGGGGGGAACGGCCAACCAAGGCGGCGAUUAGUAGCUGGUCUGGAGGGUGGACCAGGCCAACCGGGACUGGGACCCGGCCCCGACCCCCAGGGGGGGCGGGGGGGGGGAAUCUUGCGCAAUGGGCGAAAGCCUGACCCCCCCCGGCCGGGUGAAUGGUGAAGGUUUUAGGAUUUAAAAAUUUUUUCCCCGGGGACGAAAAGGCCGGACCCCGGGAAAGAGGCCCCGGCAAACUUGGU